AGCGGCGUGGUGUAAUGGCUAACACAUCAAUCCGGUCUACUGAAGAUGCUGGUUCGCACCCAGCACUGCUA
This 71-nucleotide transfer RNA is filed under the name Meloidogyne javanica (root-knot nematode). It matches the Rfam family "tRNA". From Rfam's summary of the family: Transfer RNA (tRNA) molecules are approximately 80 nucleotides in length. Their secondary structure includes four short double-helical elements and three loops (D, anti-codon, and T loops). Further hydrogen bonds mediate the characteristic L-shaped molecular structure. tRNAs have two regions of fundamental functional importance: the anti-codon, which is responsible for specific mRNA codon recognition, and the 3' end, to which the tRNAs corresponding amino acid is attached (by aminoacyl-tRNA synthetases). tRNAs cope with the degeneracy of the genetic code in two manners: having more than one tRNA (with a specific anti-codon) for a particular amino acid; and 'wobble' base-pairing, i.e. permitting non-standard base-pairing at the 3rd anti-codon position. RNAcentral also lists the same sequence under 2 other names. The record is from Rfam by way of RNAcentral. Lineage: Eukaryota; Metazoa; Nematoda; Chromadorea; Rhabditida; Meloidogynidae.